GGAGUAAUACGUCUGAACGUGCCCCAUCGUGGGGGAUAACGGAGUCAAAGCUUUGCUAUUACCCCAUACAAUCUUUGGAUGAGAGCAGGGGACCGCAUGGCCUUGUGCGGACUGAGCGGCCGAUGGCUCAUAAUGUAUUUGGUGGGAUAAAAGAUUACCACGCCGACAAUAUGUAGCUGGUCUGAGAGGACAACCACCCCCACUGGGACUGAGACACGGCCCAGACUCCUACGGGAGGCAGCACUGGGGAAUUUUGUACAAUGGGCGAAAGCCUGAUCCAGCCAUGCCCCGUGCGUCAUGAAAGCCUUCUGGUUGUAAACUGCUUUUGUACGGAACAAAAAGACUCCUUCUAAUAAAGGGGGUCCAUGACAGUACCGUAGAAAUAUACACCGGCUAACUACGUGCCAGCAGCCGCGGUAAUACGUAUGGUGCAAGCGUUAAUCUGAAUUACUGGGCGUAAAGCGUGUGCACGCGGUUAUAUAAUACAGAUGAUGAAAUCCCCGGGCUCUACCUUGGGAACUGCUGUUGUAGUGACUGUAUAGCUCUAGUACGGUAGAAGAGGGGAUGGAAUUCCUGCCGUUGUAGCAGUGAAAUGCGUAGAUAUGCGGAGGAACACCGAUGGCGGAAGGCAACUCCCCCUGUACCUGUACUGACACUCAUGCACAAAAGCGUGKGGAGCAAACAGGAUUAUAUACCCUGGUAGUCCACGCCCUCUAAACGAUAUCUACUGUAUGGUGGUGUGUUCUCUGACUCAUUAACGAAGCUAACGCGUGAAGAUGACCGCCUGUGGAGUACGGCCGCACGGUUGAAACUCUCAAAGGAGUUGUCGAGGGACACGCACAAGCGCUGGAUGAUGUGUUUUAUUCUGGAUGCAACGCGAAAAACCUUAUCCACGUUUGACAUGUACUGAAUCCUUAAGAGAUAGAGGAGUGCUCGAAAGAGAACCGUAACACAGGUGCUGCAUGGCGGUCGUCAGCUCGUGUCGUGAGAUGUUGGGUUAAGUCCCGCAACGAGCGCAACCCUUGUCAUUAGUUGUUACAUUUAGUUGGGCACUCUAAUGAGACUGCCGGUGACAAACCGGAGGAAGGUGGGGAUGACGUCAAGUCCUCAUGGCCCUUAUAGGCGGGGCUUCACACGUCAUACAAUGGUUGGUACAGAGGGUUGCCAACCCGCGAGGGGGAGCCAAUCCCAUAAAGCCAGUCGUAGUCCGGAUCGCAGUCUGCAACUCGAGUGCGUGAAGUCGGAAUCGCUAGUAAUCGCGGAUCAGAAUGUCGCGGUGAAUACGUUCCCGGGUCUUGUACACACCGCCCGUCACACC
Molecule: ribosomal RNA, 1318 nt
Filed under: bacterium E2-55
Lineage: Bacteria
Description: partial 16S ribosomal RNA
Rfam family: Bacterial small subunit ribosomal RNA
Source: RNAcentral